GUUUGGACAGAGUGCGAUCAAUAGGAGGAUACUGCGACAGUUUGCUAUUACUUUGGAUGCAUACUGUCCCAACCAGAUAGUCCCAGUGUUCGAGGACAGGCCAAUCAAAAAUGAUAAUACUCAGUGCAGUCAGCACUUCACUGACCAACAGUACGAGUUUGAUCCCGUCUCUGGAAAUGUGACUGUGGAGUGGAAGGGAACUGGACCCGAUGCAACUGUUCAAGUCACCCAGUUCAUGUGUAUAUUACCCAAUACGGGCAUAUUUUCCUGUAUUAGUCCCCUUGUCAUCACCGGUCUGUCCCCUGGAAGCCACACCCUCUUCGUCACACCAGUGGGAAUCAGUGGAUGUACAAGGAUGAUCCCUACGAGCUUACUUAUAACCAUCUGAACAAACUCAUAAAAUACUAUAUAUGCAGACAUAAUACAUUUGUGCUCCUCCUAUUCAUAAUGCCUCUCAGAUUUAGCAUCAUUAUCAUAGAGCUGUCGAUAAUUUAAGGACAAGUAGAUAUGUCCAUCAAACAGAAAACAGAACAUAUUGUAGCUGUGAAGGUGAUUAUAAUUAUGUUGCCAUUAUUAAUUUUUGUCACUUUGUGUGUAGCAACACACUAAAAUGUAAUUAUUUAGUUAAUG
This is a long non-coding RNA of Halichondria panicea, 630 nucleotides long. RefSeq lists it as uncharacterized. NCBI's taxonomy places the organism in Eukaryota, Metazoa, Porifera, Demospongiae, Suberitida, Halichondriidae. The record is from RefSeq and is a predicted model, not a curated record. The transcript has 3 exons.